This 460-nucleotide ribosomal RNA is filed under the name uncultured bacterium. RNAcentral describes it as "partial 16S ribosomal RNA". It matches the Rfam family "Bacterial small subunit ribosomal RNA", at positions 338 to 795 of the family's 1533-position model. The record is from RNAcentral.
CCUACGGGAGGCAGCAGUGAGGAAUAUUGGUCAAUGGACGAGAGUCUGAACCAGCCAAGUAGCGUGAAGGAUGACUGCCCUAUGGGUUGUAAACUUCUUUUAUAAAGGAAUAAAACGUGGCACGUGUGCCUUUUUGCAUGUACUUUAUGAAUAAGAAUCGGCUAACUCCGUGCCAGCAGCCGCGGUAAUACGGAGGAUCCGAGCGUUAUCCGGAUUUAUUGGGUUUAAAGGGAGCGUAGAUGGGUUGUUAAGUCAGUUGUGAAAGUUUGCGGCUCAACCGUAAAAUUGCAAUUGAUACUGGCAGUCUUGAGUACAGUUGAGGUAGGUGGAAUGCGAGGUGUAGCGGUGAAAUGCGUAGAUAUCACGAAGAACACCGAUUGCGAAGGCAGCUUACUAAACUGUGACUGACAUUGAUGCUCGAAAGUGUGGGGAUCAAACAGGAUUAGAUACCCCAGUAGUC